UAGGGAAUCUUCGGCAAUGGGGGGAACCCUGACCGAGCAACGCCGCGUGAGUGAAGAAGGUUUUCGGAUCGUAAAGCUCUGUUGUUAAGGAAGAACGAGUGUGAGAAUGGAAAGUUCAUACUGUGACGGUACUUAACCAGAAAGGGACGGCUAACUACGUGCCAGCAGCCGCGGUAAUACGUAGGUCCCGAGCGAUGUCCGGAUUUAUUGGGCGUAAAGCGAGCGCAGGCGGUUAGAUAAGUCUGAAGUUAAAGGCAGUGGCUCAACCAUUGUAGGCUUUGGAAACUGUUUAACUUGAGUGCAGAAGGGGAGAGUGGAAUUCCAUGUGUAGCGGUGAAAUGCGUAGAUAUAUGGAGGAACACCGGUGGCGAAAGCGGCUCUCUGGUCUGUAACUGACGCUGAGGCUCGAAAGCGUGGGGAGCGAACAGG
This 429-nucleotide ribosomal RNA is filed under the name Bacteroidota bacterium. RNAcentral's name for it is "Bacteroidetes bacterium partial 16S ribosomal RNA". It matches the Rfam family "Bacterial small subunit ribosomal RNA", at positions 355 to 776 of the family's 1533-position model. The record is from RNAcentral. Lineage: Bacteria; Pseudomonadati; Bacteroidota.